Molecule: non-coding RNA, 2717 nt
Organism: Vicugna pacos (alpaca)
Lineage: Eukaryota; Metazoa; Chordata; Mammalia; Artiodactyla; Camelidae
Source: RefSeq, a predicted model, not a curated record
CAGCAUCUGGGGAGGGAAGGGCACAGUCAGGAGGGCUGCGCCUGCAGGGCUGCCCGCAACUGCGCCCGCCUCGGGGACUAUCUAGUGCUUUUAAGUACAUUCCUAAAAGAGACCAUAAAUGAAACAGUGCCUAGGGGAUUCCUCCCCCACCCAGGCUUGCUCCUCAGAGGUACUUUAACCCCUUCAGCCGAUUCUUUUGGCUCUUCCUCCCUAAUUUUAAUUUAUUUACACCAGCAUUUAGAGAUCUGUCGCCUUUAGACAUUACUUUCCUCCACAUUUUUUUCCUUAAAUGGCUUUACAGAGAGAUAAUUCACAGACCAUACAGUUCACCCACUGAAAGCGUACAGUUCCAUGGUUUUCACUAUAGUCACAGAAUUGUGUAACCUUCAUCACAAUUUUAGAGCAUUUUCAUCACUUCACAAAGCAGCCCCCUUGACCCAUCAGCAGCCAGCCGCCGCCUCCCCUCAGCCCUAGGCAACUACUUAACUACUCUGUCGCUGUGGAUUUGUCUAUUUUGGAAGUUUCCCGGAGUGGACCCCGACAACCUGUGGUCCUCUGUGACGCUCCUUUCACCCAGAGUUGUUUGUUUGCUUUUGGCCAGUGAGACUAUCAGGAGAUUGAAGCUCCGCUGUGGCAGCUCGAACAAUCUUCCUUAAACGUAACGCUUCACCGACAGAGACCGAGAUGUUCAGGUGUGGUGGGCACGGUGGACACGGGCCUGGAGUGGAGGUGCCUGGGUUCCGGCCCCUGCGGCAGGGCGGUCCCCACUGCUGAGCUCCGGAGCCUGCCCUCCUGUUCCCGAGCGGAGGGAGCAUUCACAGGUCAUGUGUCAGACCACAACUCACCGGUGGACUGGGUCACACAGGAGAUCUUGUAGGACAGCCACACGCUCGCCAGACAGAGGAAGGUGGCCAGGAACCCGAAGAUCUGCAUGGAGAGAGGGGAGAGGAGGUGCCCAGGCCAGCCACUCGGGCAGCCCUUCCCGCUGCUCCUGUCUGUGCCCGUUCCUGCACCGACCAGGGCCUCAUCUGAGCCGGUCACCUGUCCUGGCUCAGGCGCACAGGCGAGGCCCACCCCAGCCCCAGCUGGGACGCAGCCAGGCUCCCCAGGGCUCUUCUCUAGAGUUUUAAGUUUAUUACUUAGCUGGGGCCAAGGCCCUGGACUUUAUCCUGGGCAAACGGGAAAGAAAAAGGAGGAACUGUACAUUUUAUUUUGGGGUCUUAAGCGUGGCUGCCCUGUCUGCACUUCAUCCACAAGGGCUGCACAGCUGUAUCAGAGCCAGGAGCUGGGCCUUGGGAGCGGGUGUUAGGUUUGCGCCUAGUUGGGUAAUACUGGACUGAGCGAGCUCAGGUGGCACGCCUUUCCUCUCUAGGCUGUGAGGACCGAGUCCAGCGCAGCCUCAUCCUCUGUAGGCGAGAAAGAGGGCCUCCCGGGAGGCUCAUCAAAUGAUGAGCAGCAGACAUGGACUCUGGUGUCUCGCCGGGACCUCGGCAGCCUUUCCUGACGCGUCAGCCGCAGCCGCAGCCGCUGCGAGGUCCUGAGGCCUGACCGUGUCCGCACCAAGCAGUGUUCUAAGCUGCCCUCCCGUUCACCCUCAUAGCUCUGCCGGGCGGGCGCUGUGAGCCCCCUCUCCCCUUUUACAGCAGAAGAAACGAGGGACAGGAGGUCAACUGCAUAGCCUGAGGCCACAGCGCCGGCGAGGGUGACUCCGGAAUCUGAGUCCACCUCCACUCCGUGUGCUGCCCACGUGUCGUCAGGCUCGCUGGGUGCACAGCCAGGAGCCCCUCCCCGUCCGGCAGACCGGGAGCAGCCAGGACAAGGCAGGAUUUUCCAAGCUCUGUUUCCUCAAGCCCCUCAUUUGCCCGCAUUCCACCAAGGUCCUCGGUAACAGGUACAGCAGCGAGAGGACUCUGAGCUUGAAGCCUGCCGAGGUGCAGUGUUCUGCUCCACAGAUCAGAGCAGGAGUGCGGCUCUGACAGAGGGACCCUCGACAUUUGCAUGUUUCCCUUUGCUAAUGAGCAAUGGUCUGCUCUUUCUGGUGGUGACACAGAUAACUGGGAGUUUCCCCACCAACAGAAGGCGCCUGGGCAGGCCUUCCCCUCCGCGCCCCGGGGUGGAGUGCCCUGCUCGAGCCCGCGGUGAAGUAAGACUUCCCGGAUUUUGACCACUGGGCCUGGGGCCGCCCACCAUGUGUGGCUCUUUAGAAAAGCCCCAUUUGGACAAUCUCAUUUACACAGUGGGUGGUGUGUGUUUGCACACGCUCCUGAAAGCUUCCUUUUGCCCGAGGAGUGGUUCUUUAGCUAGCCAGCAUCUUAGCUAGAGCGCUCAGAAAAGAGAGUGUUGACUGACUCAACACUUUCCAGGAACUCUUCCAGGCGGUAACCUCCGCAGAUGCUCAAGACCCUGAAUCACCUAGAUCGAUGAUUUGGGGGCAGCCAGAAAGGAACGAGACAAUGGGAAGACAACGAGAGACAAGGCCUGGGGUGGGGGCGCCCCCUGCCCCACCAGCCCUCUCAGGACGUCUCCCUGUUCUGGUCAGAGAAACCGAAGCAAAGAAGGCUGGAGGCUUCUGGAAGACAGAUACGGUUCUGUUUAGACUGACGUCACCAUCAGAAGGACGAACCUGUCCCUCAGGAUGUCUUCCUAGCUCCUCUCAUACAGGUUUUUCUUUUACAAUGAACUGUCUUGCUAGUUGAAAAUAAAGUAUCUAACAUAAA